RNAcentral lists this ribosomal RNA (455 nucleotides) under uncultured SAR116 cluster alpha proteobacterium. RNAcentral describes it as "bacterial SSU rRNA". It matches the Rfam family "Bacterial small subunit ribosomal RNA", at positions 8 to 513 of the family's 1533-position model. Lineage: Bacteria; Pseudomonadati; Pseudomonadota; Alphaproteobacteria; Puniceispirillales (SeqCode). The record is from RNAcentral.
AGGGUUCGAUUCUGGCUCAGAACGAACGCUGGCGGCAUGCCUAACACAUGCAAGUCGAACGCUAUUUAUAGAGUGGCGCACGGGUGAGUAACGCGUGGGAACCUGCCUUUUUCUGCGGGAUAACGGUUGGAAACGGCCGCUAAUACCGCAUACGCCCUACGGGGGAAAGGUCCGCCGGAGAAAGAGGGGCCCGCGUCUGAUUAGCUUGUUGGUAGGGUAAUGGCCUACCAAGGCUACGAUCAGUAGCUGGUCUGAGAGGAUGAUCAGCCACACUGGGACUGAGACACGGCCCAGACUCCUACGGGAGGCAGCAGUGGGGAAUAUUGGACAAUGGGGGCAACCCUGAUCCAGCAAUGCCGCGUGUGUGAUGAAGGCCUUAGGGUUGUAAAGCACUUUCACUGGUGAAGUUGAUGACGGUAACCAGUGAAGAAGCCCCGGCUAACUUCGUGCCAGCU